Molecule: non-coding RNA, 14325 nt
Organism: Rhopilema esculentum
Lineage: Eukaryota; Metazoa; Cnidaria; Scyphozoa; Rhizostomeae; Rhizostomatidae
Source: RefSeq, a predicted model, not a curated record
UAAAGAAAGAUAGGCCUAAUCAAUCAUAUUCAAAGUAUGCGAAAAGACCACAGAAGGUAGGACCAUGGUAACAUCAUGUUUUAUUACCAUGGUUUACCAUUGUGAGACACAGAAAUAACCCUCUACAACCAUGGUAUACCAUGAUAAUCAAAUGAAACCCAUUGCUAAACCAUGCUUUGACCAUGGUCUGAUUAUGAUAUUUUUUAUUACAUUCUAUUUCCGACCAUUUCCCGCAAUUUCUAAUUCUUAAAAACGCUUAUAUGGAAUACAAUAGGUCAGUGACCUAUAAACAUGACUUCUCAUCUUUUGACGAGAGGUCUUUUAUUUCUGACUUUAAUAAAUUAGAGUUUAGCUAUAUAUUGAUAAUGAUACCGAUAUUAAUGGAAACUAUAAUAAAUUCUCUCAAGACAUUGAUAUGCUUGUUGAAAAGUGCACAAAAACAUGUACCAGUUAAAAAGUGCACAAAAAAUAAUCAAAAAUAAAAGCAAAACGCUGGAUCAACAGCAGAAUACAAAAAAUGAUGCGAAUUCAUGAUCCUAUGUUUAGACAAAUGAAAAGAAAUAGAUCGGAUCUUCAACUCUACAGAAAAUUCAGAAAUCAAGUAACAAAUGAGAUAAAGAAAAGCAAGCUAAACUAUCUCCACGCCUAUUUCUCUACGAAAUGUCAAAAUAUGAGAAAACUGUGGGUAAGCAUAAAAAUCGAUUAUCUCUUUAAGAAAGGCUCCAUAUCCUUUCAAGUAUUUGUAAAAUCAAGGAUAAAGAAGAAAUAAUUUCAGACACAACUAAAAUUUCUAAUAUCUUUAACAAGUACUUUGUCAUUGUUGCUGAGAAUAUUACCAAAACUUUACCAAAAAGAUCUGAGUCACCUAUUGAAUAUCUUGAAAAUAAAAAACUUAAACUCAAUCUUUCUCUCUCCAGUCGAUCACAUAGAAGUUGAGAAUGAAAUUUCUAGAUUUGACUCAUCAAAGUCUUCUGGGCCACUCAGUAUCCCAAUCAAUCUAUUGAAAAUUCUAGGACCCUAUAUUUCGAAUUCCUUAGCUUGUGUAUGUGUAUCACUUAGAUUGGCUAAUUCCAUUCAAUUAUCUCUUUUGUUUAAUACAAAGCAUGGAAUCGAGGGUGAAUUUUUAUGGCAAUAAAAACUAAUUUAAAAGAAAUGAAUAGUCACAAAACAAUGGAAUUCCACUUCAAAGUCUUUUGUUUUAUUAGCCAACUGCUAAUGCGAAAUAUGCCCUUUAAAAGUAGCAAAAAUAAUUCCUGUUUUUAAAAAGGGGGACACCAAAACUAAGUCAAACUAUAGGCCUAUAUCGAUGUUGCCAGUCUUCAGCUUAUAUGAAAAAUUAAUGUACAAACAACUCUAUUCGUUUAUUACUCAUAACAAAGUAAUCUACCCUUUACAAUUUGGUUUUCAGGAAAAUCAUUCAAUUUACCAUGCUUUGAUUAGUAUGACUGAAGCAAUAAGAAACAAACUUGGAUGUGGAUGUGGAAUAUUCAUUGACCUUCAAAAAGCCUUUGAUACUGUUAAGCACGAUAUUUUGAUUAACAAAUUUGAACAUUAUGGUAUCAGAGGAGAGGCCCUGGCUUGGUUUCGGUCCUACCUUUCAGAAAGACAUCAAUUUGUUUCAGUCAAUGACGUAAAUUCUGAAUUACUAAAAAUCAGAUCCGACAUCCUAAUUAAAAUUGGUGAACAACAUAUCACCAGGGUAAAUCAUGUAAGAUUUUUGGAACUUCUUCUGGAUUCUUUAAUAUGCAUCUACAAUUCUCUAUUUAUGUCAUUUCUCCAGUACAGUAUCAUUGUUUGGGGUCAAACAUUUGCCUUAUACAAACAUUUGCCUCAUACCCUAUUUUCAAACUGCAAAAAAGAGCUGUUAGAGCAAUUUCACUUGAAAAGGCCUUUUCCCAUUCAACACUGAUCUUUAAACAUCUUAAGCUACUCAGACUUAAUGACAUAUUUAAACUCCGGUUAUUAACAUUUGUUUUUGAAUCAAUAAACAAACUAACACCAAGUUGCUUUAACCAUUUCUUCCCACUAAAUAUUUCAGUCCAUCACUAUAAACAAGGCAGUCUUUCCGAGGAGAUAUCUAUCUAGAUAAAAAAAUAUGCUUCAAUUUGGCUUAAAGUCCAUUCGAUAUAUUGGAGCGAAACUCUGGAACGACCUAUCAGCUGACAUUUGAUACUCCACCUCAAGAUUUUUAUUCAAAAAGAAUCUAAAACAUCACUUGCUCAAUGCUAUGUGAAUGCCUAAAUGAAAUUUUUAUUCGAUACGUUUAAUCGCCUUUGUGUUUAUGGUUCUUAUAGGUGCAGAUGGGGGCUCUCAUCUCGUUAGUUUACCUACUUUGAGAGCUCCUCCUUAAGAAUUCUACUACACCUAAUUGCAUUGUGUUGUUGUUCUAUUUUUAUUUAAAUGUUUUAUUUGUAUAAUUAUUUUUAUUUGUUAGUAUUUUGCUUUUCAAUAAUUAUUGUAGUAGAAUUUGAAUAAUAAAUAAAUCAAAUCAAAUCGUAAUUCCUCAGCAUUAGAAGAAGUUUUUUGAAUAAUCACUUUGUUUCAGCAUUUUCUGGGACGUUAUCUUUUAUGUGCUAAAGAAUUUAAGAAACCCUGAUGUUGUGUUAGCAAGCUUUUUUGGCUAUUUUGAUAUUUCAAGUCAUAUAUAACUGCUGUUCCUUGUAAUUUUUCUUUAUAGUUAAGCCUUGUUCUUUCUAAAGGUUUUUUGGUUAUCCAAGAAAUCUUGUCACAUUUUAUUUAUUUAGUUACUUUCUGUCUUUCUUUCCUCAAAAACAUUGUUUUACAUCAGUAUAUGGAACUGUCAAGAUUUGUAGAUGCAAAGCUGAUUAAAAUAUUAUAAAAAUAAUGUGACACAGAAGCUUAAUAGCUUGUGAACUGAAAUGAAAGAGAAUUAAUAAAAUGAGAAGUUGUACAUAAUAUUUUUCAACUUAAACAAAGUAUGUGUAUAUAUUUGAUGUGUAUUCUUCUUUUUGCAGGCAGUGCUUCAGCUUCGAAGAUCAGAAAAAUUAGUUGGAAAUUUGUUUUUAAAGCAGCACUGUUGAUGUCUUAACAAUGGUUUGUUCACUUUCUCAAUAAUUUUAUACCUACAUAUGAACUAUUUCCAACAACACAUAAGCAAAAAAGGUGAACCAUUCUAUAGAACGUCAAUUAAUAGUAUUUGCCUCACACUUAGAAAAAUCCCAUCUUUGGCCGUUCUUUGUUAUCUAUGCUUACUGAAAGUGGGUGUCUCUCUGUAGCAGCAAGAUGUCCUUCUAUCCACUGGUUUAGGUAACAAAUUGUGAUUGUGAUAAAGCUACAAAGUUACCAGAUGUCAAGCUCUACUGUCAUUGGGUAAGGCAAAACCACUCAUGGCCUAAAGGGCAAUGUGUUGGUAAACAGGGUUUCAGGAGCCCUAUGUGUAACAAAAGUUGGAAUUUUUGGGGCAUGUUAUGAGGAAAGAAAGUUUGGAGAUAUUAACCCUCACAGGAAGAAUUGAAGGGAAGAAAAGCAGAGACCUUGGAAAGUGAUUUAUAGAGCCCUGCCCUUUAGGCCAUGAGUGGUUUUGCCUUACCCAAUGACAGUAGAGCUUGACAUCUGGUAACUUUGUAGCUUUAUCACAAUCACAAUUUGUUACCUAAACCAGUGGAUAGAAGGACAUCUUGCUGCUACACGAAGCAAAAUAAACUUUUGACAUUUGUUGAAUUAACUUGAUCAAGCAUAAACAAUCUUCCCAACAGACCGCAAUAACAUGAUUUGCAUAAGAUAACCCCUUGAGAAAAAAUUCAUCAAAUUCAACGUUGUAUUUUUUAUACCAUUUUUAAUCCAUAGCAAGCAUUAAUAUUCUAUUGAAGUGUAAUUUCCUGUUUUUUCUUAAUAAUUUAAAAUCACCUGUGCAAAUCAGCAAUCACAUUUCUGUCCAAAUUAUCACAUUAAUUUUCAGUUUUCAUUUCUGUUGAGAGUAGUGGAUGUUCUAGGGUGUCUUAUAAAAUGGAUAGCAUUAAAGGAAACAAAGUUAAAUGUCCAACUUAAACCCAUGCGUUUUGAUGAAGCAAUAUUUGAAUCUGAACAUAACAGUAGUGAUACUGACAGUGAUAAAAUCUCAUCAAGCGAUGGCAACUUACAUAUCUAGAAAAAUCUGAACAAUUUAGAGGUGCAAAAUAAAGGGCCUAGAGUUUCUAAGGGGCUUUUUUUAUGGAGCACCUUCAUUCUGCUUAGAGCAUUUUGCUAAUCAUUGUUUUCAGUCUUGUUCUGAACAAAACUACCCACAUGAGUACAUCUCGUGUUUAUCUUCCCUAUUAUGGUUUUAGUUAUUGAUUAAUGUUAGUCAAGGAUGAAUAUUAAGGAUUUUAUAUGUUGAAAGCAAAGAACAAGAAGGUUAAAUUAGUGAUUAUUGUGUUUACUCUCCCAACUUGCAGUUUUCCACACUGAGCCCUUAUGUGAAAUUAUCUUUUGUCCAUUCACAACUUGAGUGAUUUGACUCACAGGCUCAAUAGUCAGUUAUGUUUUGACCAAAAAUAUAUUUUCCACAAACAAUUCAGUUAUGCCCAGUUAGAAAUCUAGCUACUUUGUUGUUUAUUUACCAAGGUGAUACAGUUAACACAAAAUGAGGGUUUCAAUUGGAUAGACAAAAAUUCUAGUCAAACUAGGAAAAGUCUACACUGACUCUGACCACACUGUGGCACAGCAUAACUGGGAUAUCUAAAAUAGUCCCUGUUAUGGAAAAUCAUUAGGUUGUUGUCUAAAUUUUAUGACUUUUAAAGCAUUGAUUUUUCAUUGUUGCCCUCUUCUUAUCACACUAUUGGUAUGCUCAUAUGCAAAUCAAAUUAUGAGCAUUACGUUAAAUGUAAUUAUGUCACAUAUCAUGUAUUAGAUAUGAUACUUCAAUGAUACUUAAAGAGAUUUUGAAUCAAGUCACCAUAUGCCUGUUAUAAGCAGAAAUUGUUCAGUUAGCUGAUAUCUGUAAUCAGAUGGACUUGAUUUACAUUUUAAAUAUACAUAUUUAUAUUUUUAGUUUAAUUAUGUAGAGCUAAGUUCUAACCUGAUUAGAAAGAAAAUAAUCUAAAGCUGUACUCACGAGAUGAAAGACAUUUUUCUCCCACAUUCAGCAUAUCUCAAAUGUCAAUGCAAAUUCUUUUACUUUUUUCUAUAAUGUCAUCAAAGAACUGCAACCAUCAGCUGCAUAUAGUUUGCACAGAAGGUUUUUUAGCAUUUUUAGAAUUUGUCUCUUUAGCUAAUUACCAUUAAAUUAAAGUGAUUCUGUGACCUAGAGAUGCAAAUGACUUUGAAUUCCUAGUGUUAAAAGAAAGAGGUUUUUAACAUAGUAUAUCUGUUCCAUAUUAUUUUUUGCAAGAAUAAGGAUUAUUGGUUAUUACAAUGCAUAGCUUUUUGAGCUUAAUUUAGCUGCUCCCUUUAACCAUAUAAUCCCCUUCAAAUCCAUCACCCUAAUCAAAAUAAUUGUCAAGUCAUUGAUCAAAUUGCAAGCAUAAAUCUCUAUUAAUAGACAAUGAGCAACAAUUUGAUGCCAGUGAUGAUGAAAUGCUUCAAGACUUUUCACUUCCAGAUGUAGAGGUAUUUCAACUUCCUGUUUGAGGCACACCAACAUACCAGUUCUUCAUAAUUUUUCAAUUUCUUAAGAAUUUGUGUGUAAAUAAAUUUUGAAUUCUUUGAUAUGAUUCAAAUUUUAUUGUGUGGGAUUACUGAAAUUUCUUAAGAUUUUUUUCAAGUUAUAACCUUGUAAAUAUGUGCAAAGUGUACUGUUUGUUCUCUCUACAAAUUGGCAAUGUUUAUUUCUUAAAUCCAGUAAGAUUGUGGAAUCAUACAGAUUUACAUGUUUCAUGCUCUAACAGCAAAGACUUUUGUGAUGCUGGAUGGAAAUGUGGACCUCUUAUUGCAAGACUUGAUAUAUCAAAGAAGAAACUUAAGGUAGACCAUCAAAAGGGUGACAAUGGGAAAUUGAACAUUGACCCUUGGCAGGAAAAUAAAUAUUUGUAGUUGACUCAGGUUUUAGAGCUAAGAAGUCAAUCUGUGUUCUUGUUAUAUUACAUUCAUUGUCUGAUAGUACAAAAUGUCUUUAAAUCGUUCUAGUACAGCUUGUAUGGCAAACAGAAUAUUGGGAAUUGUUAGGUAUGUAUAUCUGUUUGAAGCAGUAGGCUAAAAGACUUUUUUGUGCAAUAUAAAUAAAGUUUUUUGAAAAGAGAAUCAAUUUUUAAGGUAUAAUUCUGAGUUUUAUUGAUUUAAUUACUCUUGAUCAUAUUUAGUUGAGGAAGUUCUGCUUUGUAAAAAGAAGACACAUUUCUUUCUCUGAUGGUGUCUAUUGGGUAUAUGGUUGUAAUUGUGACCAGACAAAACAAGAAUUUGUUAAUGAGCUGUUCAGCACCACUGAGCAGAUUCAUGAAGGUAUAAUUUAUUAUUAAAACAUGUUUUUUGCUCUUACUCAAUGUCCUAUAGCCCCAUCUAGGGCAGUAAUGUUCUAAUAUAUCCUAAAUGUGUGUACCCCCUCACAGAAUUUAUUUUUAUUGAGUUUUGAAGGGGUUUUAAGGGAAAGUAAAUUAAGAAGCCAUGCCCCUAGAUGAGGAUUAGAUUUAUUUGCCACCCAAUGUUUACACAUAUGUUAAUAAAACACAUUAUACUAUAUUAGUUACAUUUGGGUCAUUUUCUUUAUUUUCUUAUUGUAAGUUGAUACAUGUAAGUUUAUUACUCAUAAAGGUUGACACCAAAAUAUAUGUGAUAUAUUCUUGAGUUUAUAUAUUUAUAUAAAGAUGUACACCUUUUCAUAUUUCAUAUUAAGAUUGGAAAGAAUUUCUAUUCCCAGUGUGUUAAUGAAAUUUUUUUAUAUUAUGUUUAGUCUCACAAAUAUAUUCUCUGCCACAUUAUUAUUGUUAUUUUGGUAUUUAUUAAAUCAGUCAAUGAUUUCUUGUAGAAUUUAAUCAACAUAUGACUCAGUAGUAUCCUGCUUGUAUUCAUACUGAGUUAUGUGUAAAAGUGCUGGAUCAAUGGGAUGGAGUUCACAACAUUUCUCCUUCACAAUUUGUUCAAUGUAACUAUUUGGUGUACUCGGAUUUACCUUAAUAUGCAUGUAUUCAUCAUCUGCCUAUGAAUUUUCAUGCACCUUUUGUGAAGCUGCAGCUCUAUCUUAGUGCCUAAAGUAUUUGUCCAAUAGGAAAAACAGUCAUUUUAAUAUACCUCAUGGUUUAUCUUUGGAGUUCUUGUGUUUAUCAUAAGGUCUUCAUUGAUUGACAAUAAGGUAUAUAAUGGACUUUCAGAUUUGACAGCUUAGAAAAGACCAAUCAAAGACAAAACUUAUCUAACUUGCAGAGGUCUAUUUAUCUAUGUCUGCAUUUGGAAGACCUAUCUUUAACAAUUUUAUUUAUUUUCUUCUUUAUAGUGGAAGACUCAGAGCACUGGUGUUGACAGUUUUGAGAUUUGAAACACAUUCUGCUUUGUAACUAGGAAGUGGCCUGGAUAUGUUAAGGAUAUCUUAAGUACAGAAGGUCUUUUUUGCUUAAUGGGAACAAUGACUUACAAGAAAAUAUAUAAAAACUUUUGUCUGAUUUUAAAUUGACAGUAAUGGUUAUUUGUGCAAAAUAUAAAUAUGAAAGCAAAAAAUUAAUUUCCAUCUUGAUUCGGAUUAUGUCAAGCAUUUUUGUUAGGCCUCUCUUAUUUUCUUCCAUGAACGUCCUUUGAUAGCUGAAUUGGUAUUCUCAAAGGAAAAAUUAGUAUCUGUAAAACCUCAUAGCAAGGAAAUUGGUGUUGUCGGUGUAGAUAGGAAGGGCUUUAUCUGCUUCUCUUGCACCUUUGGCUGUCACUCAUGUUCCCAUGUUGAAGCCAUCAACUCCCUAAUUGAUAACCAGUCUGAGGAAACCCCAGACUUCCUUCUUCAAAUGGUGCAAAGGCAUGAUGUUCUCAAGAAAACCUACCCGAAAACGUACACCAGGUGUUCUCUCUCGACAAGACGGAUUUCGUAUGGCCCUAUGGCCUCACAAGCCAGCAUAUUCAAUGGCAGAUUUAUUGUUGAUACAUCGACAUUGCAGGAAGACGAUAAGUUGUGCCCUGAUUUUGCGUAUAGUGUAUGCCCAUCCUGUGGUUAUGAUAUUAACGAGGCAACGAUUGAAUGGAGUGGAUCAUCUCACAGGCUUUUUACCACAAAAAUGAUACUGGCUGUGCAAGUGCCGUACAGAAGAUGCCAGAAUGCGCAGUGUGGUUUGAUUCAACCAUAUGAUGGUUGCGCAAAAGGAAUUUUGAACAUGGGCGAGUUUCUUGUUGGGCACGAUGUGCUGAGAGACUAUAUGCUUCAUUUUCUUCAUGGCCACAGCCAAAGCCUUGUCAGCUACCUGAAGAUAUGGAAACUCAACCUACGUGCCUCAAGAUUUGAUGUGUCACACUGUUUGACGUAUGACCAAUGGCGAAUGGCCUGGUACUCAUUUAUUCGGCUACUAGACGUUGAUUUCAUUUCCAGGUUUUCUUGUGUGGACAAUAUCCUCCAAUAAUCUUAUGCGAUGCAACAUCACUUGGCUAUCGGAGGAAAUAUUCUCGAGGCCUUCAAGAGCUACCAAACGAGGCCAACCCUGUAAUGCUGAAUGGAAGAUAAGUGAUAGAUAUCUUUUUUGUGCUUAAAGAUAAAUUUUUCGUACAUUAUAGUAUUGCUACCGUGAUGGGCUACUUCAGUUCCACAUCAAGAAUUUUACUUCUGAAAGUUAUUUCGUAGACUAUUGUAGUCAAUAUAUGAGCAAUUCUUUAUGAAAACUUCUGAUCUUUAUGAAAACGCGGGCCAGUUCUAUGCUUUACUCUGUCAGAUUCUGAAGCUUUCUCAUUUUAGUUAAUUCUAUUUGCUGGCGAUAAUAAGAAGAGUGCAAAAUUUAUUCUUUCACUUCUAAUUCAAGAUUUCUUUCUUUGGUUUGGUAUCAUUACUAGCUUCAGCCAACGAGUUUGUAUCAAGAAGAGGAAAACCAGGAUGCUACUAAGAAAACUUGUUUCAUCGAAAUAUUUGGAAUGCGUAGAAAGAUAUCACUAAAUACACUUAUAUGCCACGAACAUCCAAACAUUUUGCACGUGCUUGAAGCUUGUGAAGAGCUCUUUCAAGGCUGUGAGCAAUUUCCAAGGAGCUAUGUACCUUCUUCAGGUGCAUUUCAUCAAAUUCGCCGGUUUGUUCUUAUAUACCACCGACAGCUUCCUUCAAUCAUUUGGCAGCACGUUUAUCCUCUUGGCUGAUAAUAAGGAAAGACCCAGAAGCUCUAUCCGAGCUUCAGAUUUGUGCCCCCAUUGUUUAUGGAGUUAUAAAAUGUCUUCCUGCUGCUUCUUUGCCACAGCCGUGAAUCACGUUGCUUGAAGAGCUAAUUGUGAAGUCAAGGUAUGUCACAGAUUUCCAGCCUCAUGACACCUCAACAUUGAACAGUUUCUUGUCCAAAAAUUUGAGCUUCUUUCCUUCGUGGCCACAGCUAUCCGACCGUGGCUCCUACACAAUGGAUAAAAUGAAGAGCGACACCAGGGAGGAAUGUGCUAAAACAUAUCGAGGUCAUCCAAAUUUGUUGCCUGGUAUAUUCACAGUUUACUGUCAACACGAAAUCUGCUACGGUUUUGAAAUGAUGCAAUGCCAAGAGUCUACUAAUGUCCCAUUCACAAUAUCACAAUUAAAUUGCCAGAAGGUAUUUAUACAGGAUUUAUCACAUCAAGCUAUUGUCAUAAUAAGCGAUUUGAUCUUGUCUUAUUAAUACGUGCUGUUAUCUUCAAGAGGUACAGGGAUAAAGUUUCAUAAAGUUUUCAGGUCAUUCCGUUUUCAUAGUCAAAACGAGAUGUGUUUCCAGAUUGGUUCAGAUUGGAGGACUGUUUUCAAAUGACUCCACUUUUUGAAUGCCUCAACAUUUUCAGCAUCGUUUCGGAGUUUGGUAUCGAAUGACAAUGUUUUCGAAACUAGCAAUGGAAACGCAAAAUCCAUCUUGGGAAAACAUCUGGUAACAAUGUGAAGCCAAUUAUGUCCAAAUGUGUAAAUGCAGCAAAUAACAGGAUCUUUUCCAAACUGAAUUAUUUUGGUUUGGAAUCAACGAAGAUUUUCUCCUGUAAUCAGGCUCAUCGUUUCUUCUCGAUUGUGUCGAUUUAUUUUUCUAUGUAUAUAUAUUUUAAUUUUGUUUUAAAUUUUAAUACCGAAAGCAGUGUAAAAAUUGAUAUGUUUAAAAGCGUUUUUCAUCAUGUCUUUCAUCGCUUAUUGUUUCCUCUUACAAGUAAUUUGUUGGCCUUCUCGUUGGCCUAUUUACCAUGGCUUCUUUAAACAAUGCAACUUUUUAGUAGACAGAUUCCGCUGUAAGAAUCAUAAAGGUUUGUACAUUGUUGUUGUUGUUGAAGCAGUUGCAAAUAGCUGUGCCCCCUGUGAUCGAUAUACGGAUGAAAGAUAUGCAACAAUCUUUGUUCUACGUUGUUAUUUACCUUAUGGUCUUUUUUCUUGCGUCGAACAGUGAUACCACAUCUUUUUAUUGAUCAUUAAUUUUAAUAAAAUGAAAAUCAGAUUAAAGAUAAUUUUUCAAAUGGAAAUGAGUGUAAACAAAAAGAGCUCUCAUUUCAGUACGACAUACAAUCGAAUACAAUGAAGAAUUAUUGCGAGACAGUUCUUUAUGAUUGGAAGCUAACUCAAAUGUAUAAAGCCAGUGAUAGUUACAAUACGAAAAGAUUGUCGAAAUAGAAGGAUUUGAAUUGUCAACGAUAGGCUAGAAAAGCAAUAUAUUGAUAGAAUUUAUGUUAAGCUUUGUCCAAUUGGUAGGAGGACAGAGCUGUCCCUGCAAUCUCAAUGCGUCAAGGGCCGUUUGAAUUAAAGGUAUUUUUCUUAUAUUUAGCUUGUGCUGAAAGCUACAAUGCUUCUAAUCAACCAGCAUAUGACCGAAUCAACACCCAAAUCAACGAGCAGAGAAAUGCACUGAAGACGCUCAAGAGUCAAGUGUCGUACAUGAAUGAAGAGAAUUUUCUCAGCCACAUCAAGCUGCUUCUUUUUCACUGCAAUUACACACUUAAACAAGAAAAAGGAUUCUAAAGCUUCAAACAUUCACCCUUUUCUUACUUAAACGCUUAACUUAUUUGACACCCUAUUCAUUUGCCGUGAAUAAUUAAUUUGAUCUUAUUUUAUCAUCAUAAAUAAAAAUUGCAAACUUUUCUGGUUUUUUCAAGGGUGUGAGCCCUUACAUGAGAAACUUUUCUUAUAAAAAGCAACAUAAGAUAAAUUAUUCUACAAAUAAAUAAGACGAUAUUAAGAAAAAAGUUAAUCUUUGUCUAUUUUGAGAGAGAAAUUAACCAACCUUUUUGUUAAAAGUAUCAAUGUUUUUUGAAAAAAUAGGACUUAGCAAAAAAGACGGUGGUUAUGUAUGUGCCAUAUUACAGUUUAUCGCUUCAAAAACGCCUUUUAUUGGAAUAUGUUGAAUUUACGAUGUUGAUGGAAUUAUUUCAAUGAUCAGUGACGAUAAAAGAACUUUUUGCGUAUUUUUCCUAUCAAAGUGUCGUAACAUUGGCCCUUAGCAUGACAUAAUUUGGUCAGCUAUGCGCCAUUCCAAUUAUUAUUGGUACAAGAAACAAUUUGUAAACAAAAUUUUUAUCUCAAGACACAAAGAGAUGAUUGCAAUUAUGAAUAACGACAAGGGAACAAUUUUGUUAUUUUUUCAAUCAAAGUGUCGUAACAUUGGCGCUUAGCAUGACAAAGUUUAGUCAGCUAUGCGCCAUUCCGAUCAUUAUUGGUACAAGAAACAAUUUGUAGACAAAAUUUUGAUCUCAAGACACAAAGAAAUGAUUGCAAUUAUGAAUAACGACAAGGGAACAAUUUUGUUAUUUUUUCUAUCAAAGUGUCUUGACAUUGGCGCUUAGCAUGACAUAAUUUGGUCAGCUAUAACGUUCGGCUUAUCGAUAAAUUAGAAACACUGGGCUUCUUUUCCGUUUAUUUUGCCUACAAAUCUUAUUUUCUUGAUUAAUUACAUACUUCUCCACGGGUAUUAUCUAAAGCUGAUACUAGAUAUUCUCGGUGAAGGUUAUAGGCAGGUUUUGAGAUUUACAUUAAAAAUUGACGCAUGACAAUUUUGGUAAUGCAAAAAAGUACCCAAGCACUUAAAUAAUAGGGUACCAAAACGAAUGGUGGAACUUAGCAUGCAAAACGGUCCAGGAACACAAACACAUGACAACUUGUUUAUGCAAAAACGUACCAAAGCAUUUAAACAACAGGGUACCAAAACGAAUAAUGGAAUUAAGCAUGCGAACUGAUCCGGGUACACAAAUGUUCUGGUUCAUAUUGUUCAGAAUGUAAAGAACAAUUGAACUAUUUUUAUAAAAAGGGUGCUAAACGGUGCUGUGAUUUCCGUUGUUAAGUUUAUGCAAAAAAGUAAAACAUUAAUGGCGACUCCAAAGUUUGCGUAAUUGACAAUUGUGAAAUAUUAAAUUCUUAAAAACGUGUCAAACAUCGCACAAUGAUGAAAUCACACGAUCUGAAACACAUUGCGUUUCACAAUGUUACACUUUUGCAUAGGGUACCAAAACGUAUAUUACAUCGGCAGGGAGUCAUUUGAAAUUUCUGGGGUACACUUGCCUCUCCGUGACAUUCAUAGCCUUAUCUGUGCCAUUUUUUAGUUGCUGAGGGUUUUUGGGUGAUACUUUUUGGUCUUAUCCUCAUCUCAUCCCCACUGCUUGCUAAAGCUAUUGCUUUGGAAACUUUGAAAGCAAAACCCGACAAAACUCUACUUUUCGAGUUUAUGCCGACAAGAAUUUUCUAGGGGGUGGUGCCACACUCCCGCAUCCCUCGCUAGCGACGGCCCUGCUGCGAGGAACAUUUAAUUGGGAAUGUUACAAAACAGUCCUCCCCAUUUUUUUUGCAAUAAUAGAUUUGAUAGAAGAAAGAAGAUAGAAGAAAAAGUUUUGAAAGUUUAUGCCAACUAACCCAUUAGUAGCAGUUCUGCUGGGAACCCGUUUUUGUUCUUUUUCAUUGUGUUUUAUCUUGUGUGGUCAAGGCUUUUUUGUUUUUUUAUAUUAAUUGAAAUCUUCUUUGAACCGGUAUGUUUAUGAAUAAGGACUGAAAGAAGCAAGUAUUUUCUGAAAGGGGUGUUCUACGUUGUUUCAAAGGGCGUUGCCGUAAAAAAAGUUAUGUUCGCGCCUCCUAGCCUCGUUCCAGCCACUUCCUUGUUGGCUGGUGCCAAUGUGACCUGAUCUAGCAUAAUAUUAUGGUUUUAGCAUAACAUUGGCCAAAAAUCGUUAUUUAGCAUAAAAUCUAGCAUAAUUUUGACAUUUUUUUAAAAAUUCAUCGUUCAAUUGAACCUUUGUCUAUCGUUACCAAAUGGGAGUAAAUUGGGAGUAAAUUGGGACUUUCCACUUUCAGGAUUUUGCCAGAUGUUUGGAAUGAUUGUCAGCCAUAUAUUUUAUGGUUUGCGGCCAAAUUCAGUCAGCUAAAUGCAGUAUACAAAAAAGCUAAAUGUUUUCUAAUUGUGGGGAGUGAUAGCGUAAUCAAAGUUUGCUUUGUAGGUUACAAAAGUUUUCACUCGUUUUAUCUUAAACUGUCUCUUAUCUUUCACUUUCUUUCAGCAUUCAUCAUUUGCAAUUUUGAAAUUAUUUUAAAAAGUUUUGAAUAUUAUCUGUGCAAAAAGUUUUGUUUCCUUUGCAUUUCGUUGUUUCUUGCAACAUGCGGCCAGAAUUCAGCCAAAUUUUGCUUCCUCGGUCAAAUCAAUUUAUGACGGCCAAGGGGUUUCGAAAAACUGCCAAAAUUGAGAAAUUUGGCCUUUAAAACCAUUAAGAAUGAGUACACUGGGUUUUAGAUGAUUGGUCAAAAGGGCCAAAUAGCAACUCUGGCCACUUUUGAUAUUCUGAGCAUGUGUUAGCCUCUUUCUCGAGCAGGGUUGCCUUGAUUUAAAAAUCAGCAUAUUUUUUGCAAAUCUAACACAAUCUUAUGAAUAUUUUGGCAUCAUUACAAAAAUGAAAUCUGGUCGCACUGGCGGGUGCGUGGUGUCUGCAUUACAAACAAGAUGGGGGUAAAGAUCAUGCUUUCAAUCUGUGCAAAAAGAGAAAAAGAAGAGACAAGCAAAGUUUGUACAUCAGUGAGAGAAUAGAUUAUUUGCCAUCUGUAACAAGGAUCUCGUUCAUAGUAUCAAAACUUUUAAAGAACAAAGAAUUUGGUUGGCUGAAUGCAAUUAAGAGUUUUUCAUAAGCAAAAAAGGUUUAAGCAAGCUUCACCCAGCUUUUGUACGGGACAAAAUAAUUCAUUCAAUGAUGAAUUGAAACUUGAAAAAUAAUGACUAGGAUCACAGAGAUCUGAGAUUUUUUCUCAGAGGAAUUCUACAUGGCGAGACAAUGGCUUGGAUUCUCGCAGCAAACCCCAAUUCUGUCGAUUUAGAGAGCCUA